GAUGAACGCUGGCGGCGUGCCUAAUACAUGCCAGUCGAGCGAACGGACGAGAAGCUUGCUUCUCUGAUGUUAGCGGAGGACGGGUGAGUAACACGUGGAUAACCUACCUAUAAGACUGGGAUAACUUCGGGAAACCGGAGCUAAUACCGGAUAAUAUUUUGAACCGCAUGGUUCAAAAGUGAAAGACGGUCUUGCUGUCACUUAUAGAUGGAUCCGCGCUGCAUUAGCUAGUUGGUAAGGUAACGGCUUACCAAGGCAACGAUGCAUAGCCGACCUGAGAGGGGGAUAGGCCACACGGGAACUGAGACACGGUCAUGACUCCUACGGGAGGCAGCAGUAGGGAAUCUGCCGCAGUGGGCGAGAGCCUGACGGAGCGACGCGGCGUGAGUUAUGGAGGUCUUCGGAUCGUAAUACUCUGUUAUUAGGGAAGAACAUAUGUGUAAGUAACUGUGCACAUCGUGACGGUACCUAAUCAGAAAGCCACGGCUAACUACGUG
RNAcentral lists this ribosomal RNA (497 nucleotides) under uncultured bacterium. RNAcentral's name for it is "partial 16S ribosomal RNA". It matches the Rfam family "Bacterial small subunit ribosomal RNA", at positions 28 to 507 of the family's 1533-position model. The record is from RNAcentral.